RNAcentral lists this ribosomal RNA (492 nucleotides) under uncultured bacterium. RNAcentral's name for it is "partial 16S ribosomal RNA". It matches the Rfam family "Bacterial small subunit ribosomal RNA", at positions 29 to 507 of the family's 1533-position model. The record is from RNAcentral.
AGUGAACGCUGGCGGUAGGCCUAACGCAUGCAAGUCGAACGGCAGCACAGUAAGAGCUUGCUCUUACGGGUGGCGAGUGGCGGACGGGUGAGGAAUACAUCGGAAUCUACUUUUUCGUGGGGGAUAACGUAGGGAAACUUACGCUAAUACCGCAUACGACCUACGGGUGAAAGCAGGGGAUCUUCGGACCUUGCGCGAUUGAAUGAGCCGAUGUCGGAUUAGCUAGUUGGCGGGGUAAAGGCCCACCAAGGCGACGAUCCGUAGCUGGUCUGAGAGGAUGAUCAGCCACACUGGAACUGAGACACGGUCCAGACUCCUACGGGAGGCAGCAGUGGGGAAUAUUGGACAAUGGGCGCAAGCCUGAUCCAGCCAUACCGCGUGGGUGAAGAAGGCCUUCGGGUUGUAAAGCCCUUUUGUUGGGAAAGAAAAGCAGCAGAUUAAUACCCCGCUGUUCUGACGGUACCCAAAGAAUAAGCACCGGCUAACUUCGUG